This 465-nucleotide ribosomal RNA is filed under the name uncultured bacterium. Its description in RNAcentral is "partial 16S ribosomal RNA". It matches the Rfam family "Bacterial small subunit ribosomal RNA", at positions 28 to 507 of the family's 1533-position model. The record is from RNAcentral.
GAUGAACGCUGGCGGCGUGCUUAACACAUGCAAGUCGAACGGAAAGGCUCCUGCUUGCAGGGGUACUCGAGUGGCGAACGGGUGAGUAACACGUGGGUGAUCUGCCCUGCACUUCGGGAUGAGCCUGGGAAACUGGGUCUAAUACCGGAUAGGACGAUGGUUUGGAUGCCAUUGUGGAAAGUUUUUCGGUGUGGGAUGAGCUCGCGGCCUAUCAGCUUGUUGGUGGGGUAAUGGCCUACCAAGGCGUCGACGGGUAGCCGGCCUGAGAGGGUGUACGGCCACAUUGGGACUGAGAUACGGCCCAGACUCCUACGGGAGGCAGCAGUGGGGAAUAUUGCACAAUGGGCGCAAGCCUGAUGCAGCGACGCCGCGUGGGGGAUGACGGCCUUCGGGUUGUAAACUCCUUUCGCUAGGGACGAAGCGCAAGUGACGGUACCUGGAGAAGAAGCACCGGCUAACUACGUG